This 69-nucleotide transfer RNA is filed under the name Malassezia restricta. RNAcentral's name for it is "tRNA-Met". It matches the Rfam family "tRNA". Rfam says of the family: Transfer RNA (tRNA) molecules are approximately 80 nucleotides in length. Their secondary structure includes four short double-helical elements and three loops (D, anti-codon, and T loops). Lineage: Eukaryota; Fungi; Basidiomycota; Malasseziomycetes; Malasseziales; Malasseziaceae. The record is from RNAcentral.
GCUGAAAUAGUUAAUGGUAACCAUACAAUUCAUACUUGUGAAUAGAGGGUUCGAUUCCCUCUUUCAGCU